This 138-nucleotide unclassified non-coding RNA is filed under the name soil metagenome. RNAcentral's name for it is "partial internal transcribed spacer 1". The record is from RNAcentral.
CCUAGAGUUGUAGGCUUUGCCUGCUAUCUCUUACCCAUGUCUUUUGAGUACCUUCGUUUCCCUCGGCGGGUCCGCCCGCCGAUUGGACAAUUUAAACCAUUUGCAGUUGCAAUCAGCGUCUGAAAAACUUAAUAGUUA